This is a long non-coding RNA of Monopterus albus (swamp eel), 358 nucleotides long. RefSeq lists it as uncharacterized. The transcript is spliced from 3 exons. NCBI's taxonomy places the organism in Eukaryota, Metazoa, Chordata, Actinopteri, Synbranchiformes, Synbranchidae. The record is from RefSeq and is a predicted model, not a curated record.
GACCGAUUGUCAUUCUGCUCAGUGUGUGGUUGCUCUCUCAGGGAAGGGUGGACGCUCCCAGUACCUCAGCUUGGAUCAAACACAGACCAACCUCAAGCAAAGAAGGAGUUUAAUGUCUGACCUCGCCACACUGAUGUGCAGAUGGGCUCCAUGAUGUCACUCUACCAAGUGCAACAGAGCACGUUUCUGACCACACCUAGCCACAUCUGCAGGUACAGUCAAAGGGUGCAGAAAAGUAAAUACUCCAAAAAGUAAACUAGAAGACUUCACCAAAGAAUAAUUCCUGGAAUACACCGAGGAUCAAGAGCGGAAAUUUCAUUUAACUACAGCUGAGUGAGAUGGUGUUUGCCAUCUUUUG